Molecule: long non-coding RNA, 886 nt
Organism: Pseudophryne corroboree (corroboree frog)
Lineage: Eukaryota; Metazoa; Chordata; Amphibia; Anura; Myobatrachidae
Exons: 5
Source: RefSeq, a predicted model, not a curated record
GCCGAGCGUCUGCUGCGCCGCACCACACCACGCCGACAGGAGGAUCCCGCCGCGGUCCGGAGGGGAAGGCACACAUGACCUGGAGGCUGGAGCUGGCGAGUGCGUGCAGUCGUCAGUGGGCAGCGGGCGGGUCGCGGCUCCCGGCUCCCAAUCAGCAGCAGACAUCACAUUUCCCUCCCGGGCGGCCGAUGCAGUCUACUGAGUCUGAGUGGCUGACUGCAGCAGAUUUCCUCCUGUUUCCAGAACUAAUUAUAAGAAUUACAGAUUGUACUCCAAAAUUUGCAGCUACUGUGUACUGCUGAGUAUCAUCAGGAAUAAAACAAUGAUGAACCAGCCGCAGCAACUGGGAGAGGACUGAUGAUUGGAUGACCCUGGUUAACGGCAGACUCCUCUCCAGUCGAAAGAGACAGUGAUAAUGCAUCGGCUUUACGAUUCUUGUAGCCUGAAUGAAAUGUCCCUUGAUGGAGAGUCUGUCACAACAGAAACCACUCGGUUCUCUCUUUUUCAAGGAUACAGUCUCGAAAAUUGAGAUCAAAUCUGGUGCACACAGAGAUUGAACUGUCAAGUGAGUUAAAUCAAAAGGAGGACAAGUGAACGAACAAGGGAGGAAUUGUGAAGUUUACCUCCACAUACUACAGCGCUGGUGAAGAGGUACUCUAAGUAUUGUGUGUAUCUGUAUUGCGGAGGAGGUAGGAGAAGGCUCUUGCGGUGGAGGUAGGAGAAGCCGGACUAGCUGCUGUGCGCAUUUUAGGAACUUUUAACAUUGUAUUUUACCUUCCUACCUCUAUGACUGUUUGUUAUUACCCAGUUUUCUUUUAUCAUUGUGCCCAGUUGUAAAGCGUAAUGGAAUUUGCUGAACUAUAUAAGAAACUGUUCAUAAAUAAAA